CGGGUGAGUAAUGCUUGGGAAUCUGGCUUAUGGAGGGGGAUAACUACGGGAAACUGUAGCUAAUACCGCGUAGUGUCGAGAGACGAAAGUGCGGGACCGAAAGGCCGCAUGCCAUGAGAUGAGCCCAAGUGGGAUUAGGUAGUUGGUGGGGUAAAGGCCUACCAAGCCUGCGAUCUCUAGCUGGUCUGAGAGGAUGGCCAGCCACACUGGAACUGAGACGCGGUCCAG
RNAcentral lists this ribosomal RNA (228 nucleotides) under uncultured bacterium. RNAcentral describes it as "partial 16S ribosomal RNA". It matches the Rfam family "Bacterial small subunit ribosomal RNA", at positions 103 to 334 of the family's 1533-position model. The record is from RNAcentral.